CCUACGGGAGGCAGCAGUGGGGAAUAUUGCACAAUGGGCGCAAGCCUGAUGCAGCCAUGCCGCGUGUGUGAAGAAGGCCUUCGGGUUGUAAAGCACUUUCAGCGGGGAGGAAGGCGGUGAGGUUAAUAACCUCAUCGAUUGACGUUACCCGCAGAAGAAGCACCGGCUAACUCCGUGCCAGCAGCCGCGGUAAUACGGAGGGUGCAAGCGUUAAUCGGAAUUACUGGGCGUAAAGCGCACGCAGGCGGUCUGUCAAGUCGGAUGUGAAAUCCCCGGGCUCAACCUGGGAACUGCAUUCGAAACUGGCAGGCUAGAGUCUUGUAGAGGGGGGUAGAAUUCCAGGUGUAGCGGUGAAAUGCGUAGAGAUCUGGAGGAAUACCGGUGGCGAGGGCGGCCCCCUGGACAAAGACUGACGCUCAGGUGCGAAAGCGUGGGGAGCAAACAGGAGUAGAUACCCUAGUAGUC
Molecule: ribosomal RNA, 465 nt
Filed under: uncultured Klebsiella sp.
Lineage: Bacteria; Pseudomonadati; Pseudomonadota; Gammaproteobacteria; Enterobacterales; Enterobacteriaceae
Description: bacterial SSU rRNA
Rfam family: Bacterial small subunit ribosomal RNA
Source: RNAcentral